AUGCACGCUAGCUACAGGCUUAACACAUGCAAGUCGAGGGGCAGCAUGGUCUUAGCUUGCUAAGGCCGAUGGCGACCGGCGCACGGGUGAGUAACACGUAUCCAACCUGCCGUCUACUCUUGGACAGCCUUCUGAAAGGAAGAUUAAUACAAGAUGGCAUCAUGAGUCCGCAUGUUCACAUGAUUAAAGGUAUUCCGGUAGACGAUGGGGAUGCGUUCCAUUAGAUAGUAGGCGGGGUAACGGCCCACCUAGUCUUCGAUGGAUAGGGGUUCUGAGAGGAAGGUCCCCCACAUUGGAACUGAGACACGGUCCAAACUCCUACGGGAGGCAGCAGUGAGGAAUAUUGGUCAAUGGGCGCAGGCCUGAACCAGCCAAGUAGCGUGAAGGAUGACUGCCCUAUGGGUUGUAAACUUCUUUUAGAAAGGAAUAAAGUCGGGUAUGUAUACCCGUUUGCAUGUACUUUAUGAAUAAGGAUCGGCUAACUCCGUG
RNAcentral lists this ribosomal RNA (489 nucleotides) under uncultured bacterium. RNAcentral describes it as "partial 16S ribosomal RNA". It matches the Rfam family "Bacterial small subunit ribosomal RNA", at positions 29 to 507 of the family's 1533-position model. The record is from RNAcentral.